This 252-nucleotide ribosomal RNA is filed under the name uncultured bacterium. RNAcentral describes it as "partial 16S ribosomal RNA". It matches the Rfam family "Bacterial small subunit ribosomal RNA", at positions 524 to 775 of the family's 1533-position model. The record is from RNAcentral.
UACGAAGGGUGCAAGCGUUACUCGGAAUUACUGGGCGUAAAGCGUGCGUAGGUGGUUUCUUAAGUCUGCUGUGAAAGCCCCGGGCUCAACCUGGGAAUUGCAGUGGAUACUGGGGAGCUAGAGUGCGGUAGAGGGUAGUGGAAUUCCCGGUGUAGCGGUGAAAUGCGUAGAGAUCGGGAGGAACACCAGUGGCGAAGGCGGCUACCUGGACCAGCACUGACACUGAGGCACGAAAGCGUGGGGAGCAAACAG